UAGGAGAUCUUCUGGCCAUGCAAACACAAUCCAAAAAUUCCUAAAGGAACAACCGCAAACAAGAAUAUAUAGGUCUUCAAAUCCAGUCCUUUCAAAAUACACUUCACUCUUGACAUGGUCAAAGCUGCACGGGAGGCCUGCUGGCCACAAACGUCUUCGCAUUUAUCAUCAGUCUUCUUCGAAAUGUAAUACCCAUCAGACAUGAUUA
RNAcentral lists this unclassified non-coding RNA (208 nucleotides) under Hevea brasiliensis (rubber tree). The record is from RNAcentral. Lineage: Eukaryota; Viridiplantae; Streptophyta; Magnoliopsida; Malpighiales; Euphorbiaceae.